GUCAGUGUACACUCAUACCAGAAUAUGCUCUUACUUUCGUCUGUCUUAUCUAUGCAGUUGCUGAAGAAAUUGUUUUCUCAUAUACACAACAAACAAAAAUAUUGCCUAGCAUAACACACACAAACACAACUUAUGUAUACUACACCCUGUUUACUGUAUUUCGGAGAAUUUAUAUCCAUUUUAUUUAUUUUAAAUUUAUAACUAAAGCUAAAGCUUGCAUACCUUGAGAUUGUACUCCUUUUAUGUGUUCAUUCAUAAAUAAAACAAUGGAAAUGAGUA
Long non-coding RNA from Bactrocera neohumeralis, 279 nucleotides. RefSeq lists it as uncharacterized. The record is from RefSeq and is a predicted model, not a curated record. Lineage: Eukaryota; Metazoa; Arthropoda; Insecta; Diptera; Tephritidae. The transcript has 2 exons.